CACAGAGGUUUUUGUGUGCAUCUGUACUUGUAUUGAUAGUAAGAGCUAUUCUUGUGCUUCGUGCUUGCACUUCCAUUAAUAUGUGAUCUAUGGUAAACUAGUUUUCUUGGCAGCAUUCUUGGCAUGUAUUGAACCAAAAUAUUGAAUGUUGUGGCAAUGCCAAGUGCAAAAGUGAGAUGCAGUUGGAUAGUCCAUAUCUUUUGAUAGUUGACUUGGUUAACAUCUUCAUGUGGGAAAUGAGCUUUGUAAUUAGUGAAAGUGAAACUGUGAAACAAUGGAAAUGCCUUGCGGUGUCGAGCUGCAGCUUCAUUGCUAAUAAUGCCAUUUAUGAGGAUAAAGAAUAUAUCUUUAGUAUGAGACGUUGAUUUGGUUUUUAAUUAUCCCUAUUUGUGACUUCUUUUCUUCCUAAUUUAUGCUUCUUUGUCUUCCCUUUCUGAUUCCUUUUUUUUAAAAAUUUCUGACAUUGGAUUUAGAGAUCUGAAUCCCAUAAAGGUUGAAGCCAAAUUUAGAGAUCUAUAGAGGUUGUUUGCUGAUUUUAAUUGCUCGGUUGAGAGCAAAUGUUUCAACUCAAUGCAAAUUUUUGCUCUUCUGUGAAAGCAACAUGCUAUGUAACUUUGUUAGUGAUUAUGUGGUCAGAAUCAAUUCUGCUAUGAGGGUGCCAUCUAGUGUAGUUGGUACAGUCAUUGGGAAUUGGUACAAACGUCCUGGGCUCGAGUCCUGCCCUCUUUUAAUUUCUACUGGGUUUCCUUUAAUCCUAGUU
Molecule: long non-coding RNA, 760 nt
Filed under: Phoenix dactylifera (date palm)
Lineage: Eukaryota; Viridiplantae; Streptophyta; Magnoliopsida; Arecales; Arecaceae
Description: long non-coding RNA (PDAC_LNC018536)
Source: RNAcentral